UACGAAGGGGGCUAGCGUUGUCCGGAAUCACUGGGCGUAAAGGGCGCGUAGGUGGCGUCGCAAGUCGAUGGUGAAAGCUCGGCGCUCAACGCCGAGUCGGCCCUUGAUACUGCGAGGCUGGAGCACUGUAGAGGCAGAUGGAAUCCGGGUGUAGCGGUGGAAUGCGUAGAGAUCGGGAGGAACACCAGAGGCGAAGGCGGCGACCUGGACAGGCACGUGACACUCAACUAC
Molecule: ribosomal RNA, 231 nt
Filed under: uncultured bacterium
Lineage: Bacteria
Description: partial 16S ribosomal RNA
Rfam family: Bacterial small subunit ribosomal RNA
Source: RNAcentral